CCCGUACAGGGGGAAGCCGGUGCAAUUCCGGCGCUGACCCGCAACCGUCACAGCCGGAUCGCCCGGUACGGG
Molecule: non-coding RNA, 72 nt
Filed under: Actinobacteria bacterium OV320
Lineage: Bacteria; Bacillati; Actinomycetota; Actinomycetes
Also listed under: 1 other name
Source: RNAcentral